This 1445-nucleotide ribosomal RNA is filed under the name uncultured organism. RNAcentral describes it as "bacterial SSU rRNA". It matches the Rfam family "Bacterial small subunit ribosomal RNA". The record is from RNAcentral.
GCUCAGAAUGAACGUUGGCAGCAUGGAUUAGGCAUGCAAGUCGCACGGGGGUGCUUUGCACUCCAGUGGCGAAAGGGUGAGUAAUGCACAGGUAAUCUGCCGUUACGACCGGGAUAACAUUUUUAACGAGGUGCUAAUACCGGAUGAGGCGCAAGUAUGCAUGUACUUGUAGUUAAAGGAGGAUUUCUUCCGCGUAAUGAGGUGCCUGUGUCCUAUUAGCUAGUAGGUGGGAGAAGAGCCUACCUAGGCGAUGAUGGGUAGCCGGGUUGAGAGGCUGACCGGCCACACUGGGACUGAGACACUGCCCAGACUCCUGCGGGAGGCUGCAGUCGAGAAUCUUCGGCAAUGGGCGCAAGCCUGACCGAGCGAUGCUGCGUGGAUGAUGAAGGUCUUCGGAUUGUAAAAUCCUGUUAGAAGCUAGGAAAUGCGUAUAUCUUAAUAAGUAAUACGUUUGACAUAAACUUCAGAGAAAGCCACGGCUAAAUUCGUGCCAGCAGCCGCGGUAAUACGAAUGUGGCGAACGUUAUUCGGAAUUACUGGGCGUAAAGGGCGUGUAGGCGGCGUAUAUAGUCUGAUGUGAAAUCUCUCAGCUCAACUGAGAAAUGUCGUUGGAAACUGAUAUGCUAGAGUUCGAUAGGGGAAAGCGGAACUCCGUGUGGAGCGGUGAAAUGCGUAGAUAUGUGGAGGAACGCCGGUGGCGAAAGCGGCUUUCUGGAUCGGAACUGACGCUGAGGCGCGAAAGCCAGGGUAGCGAACGGGAUUAGAUACCCCGGUAGUCCUGGCUGUAAACGAUGGGUACUAGGUAGUAGUGGAGUAAGUGCCAUUACUGCCGGAGCAAACGCGUUAAGUACCCCGCCUGGGGAGUACGACCGCAAGGUUGAAACUCAAAGGAAUUGACGGGGGCUCACACAAGCGGUGGAGCAUGUGGUUUAAUUCGAAGCAACGCGAAGAACCUUACCAGGAUUUGACAUGUAGGUGGUACAGAUAUGGAAGUUGACGGACCUGAGCAAUCAGGAGCCUAUACAGGUGUUGCAUGGCUGUCGUCAGCUCGUGCCGUGAGGUGUCGAGUUAAGUCUCUUAACGAGCGAAACCCUUGCCACUAGUUACCAGCGCGUAAUGGCGGGGACUCUAGUGGGACUGCCGCGUAAAAGUUGGAGGAAGGUGGGGACGACGUCAAGUCAUCAUGGCCCUUAUGUCCUGGGCUACACACGUGCUACAAUGGUCGUGACAGAGGGAAGCGAGUCCGUGAGGCGGAGCAAAUCCCAGAAACACGUCCCUAGUUCGGAUUGAAGGCUGCAAUUCGCCUUCAUGAAGCUGGAAUCGCUAGUAAUCGCGGGUCAGCAAUACCGCGGUGAUAUGUCUGAGCCUUGUACACACCGCCCGUCAAGCCACGGAAGCUUGGAGUACCUGAAGUCGCUGACCCAACCUUAAGUGGAGGAAGCGCC